This is a long non-coding RNA of Erinaceus europaeus (western European hedgehog), 726 nucleotides long. RefSeq lists it as uncharacterized. The record is from RefSeq and is a predicted model, not a curated record. NCBI's taxonomy places the organism in Eukaryota, Metazoa, Chordata, Mammalia, Eulipotyphla, Erinaceidae. The transcript is spliced from 3 exons.
CCCAGCUCACCAUGAGUCCCUGGUCGUCUCACUACCGCCCGCGAAGCUAGCCUGGCAGGAGACCUCCCGCCUACUGCGCAGGGCUCUCCUGCCAGGAGCUUUGAAAACACCCCAGCACCUGGGCUAGAGGCCAGAGCUUCUUAAACUUACUGACCUCCUGCUGCGGACUGACUGACGGGGUCCAGUCAGAGUCAUCACCACAGCUGGCAGAAGCACAGGUACCUGGUGGGAGUCUGGCCUGGCCCCUGUGCUGUGCUAGGAGAGCGCCUCCCUCCUCCCCCCAGGGCCUCCCUCCCUCACCCACUGCCCAGACCACAGCGGGGCUCUGGGGCCACGUCCUGACCUUGGGCACCACAGUCUUGCCCUUACUGGAGCACGGGAAGGACUGAUCACUCCCAGACUGAGUCUAAGAAAACAAGCUGAAGCCAAGCCUGGCUCAGCUUGCGUUCAACUCCUGGCUCUGUCAUUUACCUGCGCCAGCAACUUAACCUUUCAGCGUCUGCUUUUUUCACCUGUGGAGCGGUUCCAGGCACCUGAGAGCCCAGAGAAGAGACCCCACUCUCCCACCACGCUGAAUUAUGGAACCGCAGAAGCCCCAGCUGGAGCAGUGGGUAAAGCCUUGGGCUCCCAAGCAUGAGGCCCCAGAUUGAUGCUGGGCAUCACAUGUACCAGAGCGAUUCUCUCUCUCUCUUAGCCAUUCUCAGUGGAAAGUAAAUAAAUCUUCUU